Molecule: ribosomal RNA, 1406 nt
Filed under: Limosilactobacillus fermentum
Lineage: Bacteria; Bacillati; Bacillota; Bacilli; Lactobacillales; Lactobacillaceae
Description: bacterial SSU rRNA
Rfam family: Bacterial small subunit ribosomal RNA
Source: RNAcentral
UUGCAUUGAUGGUGCUUGCACCUGAUUGAUUUUGGUCGCCAACGAGUGGCGGACGGGUGAGUAACACGUAGGUAACCUGCCCAGAAGCGGGGGACAACAUUUGGAAACAGAUGCUAAUACCGCAUAACAGCGUUGUUCGCAUGAACAACGCUUAAAAGAUGGCUUCUUGCUAUCACUUCUGGAUGGACCUGCGGUGCAUUAGCUUGUUGGUGGGGUAACGGCCUACCAAGGCGAUGAUGCAUAGCCGAGUUGAGAGACUGAUCGGCCACAAUGGGACUGAGACACGGCCCAUACUCCUACGGGAGGCAGCAGUAGGGAAUCUUCCACAAUGGGCGCAAGCCUGAUGGAGCAACACCGCGUGAGUGAAGAAGGGUUUCGGCUCGUAAAGCUCUGUUGUUAAAGAAGAACACGUAUGAGAGUAACUGUUCAUACGUUGACGGUAUUUAACCAGAAAGUCACGGCUAACUACGUGCCAGCAGCCGCGGUAAUACGUAGGUGGCAAGCGUUAUCCGGAUUUAUUGGGCGUAAAGAGAGUGCAGGCGGUUUUCUAAGUCUGAUGUGAAAGCCUUCGGCUUAACCGGAGAAGUGCAUCGGAAACUGGAUAACUUGAGUGCAGAAGAGGGUAGUGGAACUCCAUGUGUAGCGGUGGAAUGCGUAGAUAUAUGGAAGAACACCAGUGGCGAAGGCGGCUACCUGGUCUGCAACUGACGCUGAGACUCGAAAGCAUGGGUAGCGAACAGGAUUAGAUACCCUGGUAGUCCAUGCCGUAAACGAUGAGUGCUAGGUGUUGGAGGGUUUCCGCCCUUCAGUGCCGGAGCUAACGCAUUAAGCACUCCGCCUGGGGAGUACGACCGCAAGGUUGAAACUCAAAGGAAUUGACGGGGGCCCGCACAAGCGGUGGAGCAUGUGGUUUAAUUCGAAGCUACGCGAAGAACCUUACCAGGUCUUGACAUCUUGCGCCAACCCUAGAGAUAGGGCGUUUCCUUCGGGAACGCAAUGACAGGUGGUGCAUGGUCGUCGUCAGCUCGUGUCGUGAGAUGUUGGGUUAAGUCCCGCAACGAGCGCAACCCUUGUUACUAGUUGCCAGCAUUAAGUUGGGCACUCUAGUGAGACUGCCGGUGACAAACCGGAGGAAGGUGGGGACGACGUCAGAUCAUCAUGCCCCUUAUGACCUGGGCUACACACGUGCUACAAUGGACGGUACAACGAGUCGCGAACUCGCGAGGGCAAGCAAAUCUCUUAAAACCGUUCUCAGUUCGGACUGCAGGCUGCAACUCGCCUGCACGAAGUCGGAAUCGCUAGUAAUCGCGGAUCAGCAUGCCGCGGUGAAUACGUUCCCGGGCCUUGUACACACCGCCCGUCACACCAUGAGAGUUUGUAACACCCAAAGUCGGUGGGGUAACCUU